CCCGGUGAACUUAAGCAUAUCAAUAAGCGGAGGAAAAGAAACUAACAGGGAUUCCCCUAGUAUCUGUGAGUGAAGCGGGAAAAGCUCAAAUUUAAAAUCUGGCGGUCUUUGCGGCCGUCCGAGUUGUAAUCUGGAGAAGCGUUUAUCCGCGUCGGACGGUGUACAAGUCUUCUGGAAGGGAGCGUCGUAGAGGGUGAGAAUCCCGUCUUUGACACGGACAACCGGUGCUUUUGUGAUGCUCUCUCGAAGAGUCGAGUUGUUUGUGAAUGCAGCUCAAAACGGGUGGUAAAUUCCAUCUAAAGCUAAAUAUUGGCGAGAGACCGGUAGCGAACAAGUGCCGUGAGGGAAAGAUGAAAAGCACUGUGGAAAGAGAGUUAAACAGUACGUGUAAUUGUUGAAAGGGAAACGUUUGAAGUCAGUCGCGUCGGCCGAGACUCAACCUUGCUUCUGCUCGGUGCACUUUUCGGUUGACGGGUCAGCAUCAAUUUUGACCGCCGGAUAAAGGUCGGGGGAAUGUGGCAUCCUUCGGGAUGUGUUAUAGACCUCGAUUCGGAUACGGCGAUUGGGAUUGAGGAACUCGGCGCUUUGCGUCCAGGAUGCUGGCAUAAUGGCUUUAAGAGACCCGUCUUGAAACACGG
RNAcentral lists this ribosomal RNA (638 nucleotides) under uncultured fungus. Its description in RNAcentral is "eukaryotic LSU rRNA". It matches the Rfam family "Eukaryotic large subunit ribosomal RNA", at positions 24 to 664 of the family's 3401-position model. Lineage: Eukaryota; Fungi. The record is from RNAcentral.